Lolium rigidum is the source of this 1462-nucleotide long non-coding RNA. RefSeq lists it as uncharacterized. The record is from RefSeq and is a predicted model, not a curated record. The transcript has 3 exons. Lineage: Eukaryota; Viridiplantae; Streptophyta; Magnoliopsida; Poales; Poaceae.
AGUUUAAAUAUUUGCUUAUGAUGCAGUGAGAUAAUAUGCCAGCUAAAGCGACGGCAACUCCAUGAAAAUCAUGUGUUUGCUGCUGCUAAUAAAAUGCAGAUCCAAUUAGUGUCCGUCAGCUGUGCGGAAAUACGAUGGAGUCCAUACUCGAUGGUAGGCUUGAUGGAUAUUGCAAGUGUGCUUGGACUGGUUUCUUGUGGGAGGCACCCUCAAAUCGAUCCUUGGUUAGUUGUGUUCCAUUGUUUUUCACUGGCCAAAACCCAGGGAUGGUCAAUAUGAAGCUAACUCUGUACUACCUUCUUUUUUGGGCCUGAAUUAUCAUAUCAUUCCCCUGAAUUUAGUGCACAUAACCUGAUUUGAGUUUGUCGUUCAACCUAUAAGAGAGAAGGUUGUGUAGAGAGUUGCAAUUGCUUGGCGUUCAAAUUUGAAUGAAUAUAUGCAGCCACCUCUGUGUCAGUACAAAAUGAUAUUGGUGAACUGAGAACAAUAUGCAAGAAUCACUAGGAACAACACUCGAACGUGCAAUGUUGAAUCAACUGCUUGUAAGGGGUCAGAUAAAUAAAGCAGAUUGCUGGGCUUUAACUAGGCUCAAACUGGACUGGAUGUAUUAAUUUAGGCCGGUCAGAUAAAUAAGGUUAUUUUUUAAUCCGUGGGUACAGUUCAGCGUGUAUAAAUUUAAGAAGCAACUAGGUCAGAUGUGCAAUUAACAUGUAGGAUGCAAAUGGAUAUCAGUCAACCCUAUUUAUUAAAACAUUUGACUUCACUUCUCAUAUGGGUUUGGUGUUCAGUUACAUGAUUAAUUAACGCUCAGUUCUUGAUGUUUACUUCCAACUAAAAAAGAUAGCAUGAUAGUAUGAAUUUACUUCAAAUUGAACUGAAACAGAAUUGUGAUAGAUUUGUAGGAUAAUCUCUCUCUCUCUCUCUCUCUCUCUCUCUCUCUCUCUCUCUCUCUCUCUCUCUCUCUCUCUCUCUCUCUCUCGGGUGUGGUUAAUACACAAAGGUAAAAUUUGAUAAGUUCGUCCGCAGUGUAUAACCUUCAUUAGUCAACAUGGUUCAGUGUGUGCCGAGGGCAACUGCAUCAUUUUUUAUGAAUUAAAUUUAGCAUCAUUUUAUUGUUUCAAUGAUUCCAUCUUAAUAUUCUUGCACUGAAAUGAGGGAACGUGAGAGGUGUUUGUGGUCAGUAGACUUCUCACUCGGCACCCAAUUAGUAUUCUUGCACUGCUUUCGCUUCUUCAUUUACAUGCACACCACUUUGCUUUCUCCGGAUACCGUAUAAUAAUAACAGCUACACAUUUCAACAUGAUGCCAUAUAAAGCUUGAUAAAAUCAAUCUCCGGAAGAAUUUUUUUCUCUACCGAAAUCUGAAGGAAUUAUAUAAGCAUGUGUUAUUUAACCAGAGAUAAACUUUAUCAGUUUAGAACAAGUAGCUUUGUUCACGUCUUUGUGAUCAAGAUAAAAUUUUA